RNAcentral lists this non-coding RNA (21 nucleotides) under Caenorhabditis elegans. Lineage: Eukaryota; Metazoa; Nematoda; Chromadorea; Rhabditida; Rhabditidae. The record is from RNAcentral.
UGAUUCUAUUUGUAUUUUGAU